AGCAGCCGCGGUAAUUCCAGCUCCAAUAGCGUAUAUUAAAGUUGUUGCAGUUAAAAAGCUCGUAGUUGAACUUCGGGGUUCACCCAUUGGUCAGGCUUAAUUGUCUGCACUGGUGAGAUGAGUCUCUACCUUCUGAGGAACUUUCAUGCCAUUUAUUUGGUGUGAUUGGAAAUCAGGACUGUUACUUUGAAAAAAUUAGAGUGUUUAAAGCAGGCUAACGUCUGAAUACAUUAGCAUGGAAUAAUGAAAUAGGACGGACUGAUUCUAUUUCGUUGGUUUCUAGGAUCACCGUAAUGAUUAAUAGGGAUAGUUGGGGGCAUUAGUAUUCAAUUGUCAGAGGUGAAAUUCUUGGAUUUAUUGAAGACUAACUACUGCGAAAGCAUUUGCCAAGGAUGUUUUCAUUAAUCAAGAACGAAAGUUAGGGGAUCGAAGACGAUCAGAUACCGUCGUAGUCUUAACCAUAAACUAUGCCGACUAGGGAUCGGACGAAGUUAAUUUUAUAAUGACGCGUUC
RNAcentral lists this ribosomal RNA (513 nucleotides) under uncultured Diversispora. Its description in RNAcentral is "SSU rRNA". It matches the Rfam family "Eukaryotic small subunit ribosomal RNA", at positions 569 to 1081 of the family's 1831-position model. Lineage: Eukaryota; Fungi; Glomeromycota; Glomeromycetes; Diversisporales; Diversisporaceae. The record is from RNAcentral.